UGGCUCUCGCAUCGAUGAAGAACGCAGCGAAUUGCGAUAAGUAAUGUGAAUUGCAGAAUUCAGUGAAUCAUCGAAUCUUUGAACGCACCUUGCACCCUUUGGUAUUCCGAAGGGUAUGCCCGUUUGAGUGUCAUUGUAAUCUCACACUCGAGUUUUUCUUGACUCGAGAGGUGGACUUGGAGGCUUUGCGACCUUUGUUGGCUGCUCCUCUCAAAUGCGUUAGCGGUGCUUAUGAUCUCGCAUCACAAACCAGUGUAAUAAGAUUUCGCUGGGUUGGCUUGAUUUGGCUCGCUUCGAAUCGUCCUGUAUGGGACUGUCGCUCUGCGGCAAUCUGACAACUUGACCUCAAAUCGGGUAGGACUACCCGCUGA
This 371-nucleotide unclassified non-coding RNA is filed under the name uncultured fungus. RNAcentral describes it as "partial contains 5.8S ribosomal RNA and internal transcribed spacer 2". The stretch from base 1 to 133 matches the Rfam family "5.8S ribosomal RNA", at positions 22 to 154 of the family's 154-position model. The record is from RNAcentral. Lineage: Eukaryota; Fungi.